GGGGAAGGGGGCUUCCUAUACAUGCAAUGUCGAGCGGACCGACGGGAGCUUGCUCCCUUAUGUCAGCGGCGGCCUGGUGAGUAACACGUGGGUAACCUGCCUGUAAGACUGGGCUAACUCCGGGAAACCGGGGCUAAUACCGGAUGCUUGAUUGAACCGCAUGGUUCAAUCAUAAAAGGUGGCUUUUAGCUACCACUUGCAGAUGGACCCGCGGCGCAUUAGCUAGUUGGUGAGGUAACGGCUCACCAAGGCGACGAUGCGUAGCCGACCUGAGAGGGUGAUCGGCCACACUGGGACUGAGACACGGCCCAGACUCCUACGGGAGGCAGCAGUAGGGAAUCUUCCGCAAUGGACGAAAGUCUGACGGAGCAACGCCGCGUGAGUGAUGAAGGUUUUCGGAUCGUAAAACUCUGUUGUUAGGGAAGAACAAGUACCGUUCGAAUAGGGCGGCACCUUGACGGUACCUAACCAGAAAGCCACGGCUAACUACGUGCCAGCAGCCGCGGUAAUACGUACGUGGCAAGCGUUGUCCGGAAUUGUUGGGCGUAAAGCGCGCGCAGGCGGUUUCUUAAGUCUGAUGUGAAAGCCCCCG
Molecule: ribosomal RNA, 592 nt
Filed under: Bacillus licheniformis
Lineage: Bacteria; Bacillati; Bacillota; Bacilli; Caryophanales; Bacillaceae
Description: bacterial SSU rRNA
Rfam family: Bacterial small subunit ribosomal RNA
Source: RNAcentral